RNAcentral lists this ribosomal RNA (253 nucleotides) under uncultured bacterium. RNAcentral describes it as "partial 16S ribosomal RNA". It matches the Rfam family "Bacterial small subunit ribosomal RNA", at positions 524 to 776 of the family's 1533-position model. The record is from RNAcentral.
UACAGAGGGUGCAAGCGUUGUUCGGAAUUACUGGGCGUAAAGCGCGUGUAGGCGGUUUGAUAAGUCAGACGUGAAAUCCCUCAGCUUAACUGAGGAAUUGCAUCUGAUACUGUCAGACUUGAGUAUCGGAGGGGAUGGUGGAAUUCCUGGUGUAGAGGUGAAAUUCGUAGAUAUCAGGAGGAACACCUGUGGCGAAGGCGGUGCUCUGGGCCGGAACUGACGCUGAGGAGCGAAAGCGUGGGGAGCAAACAGG